This 83-nucleotide transfer RNA is filed under the name Danionella translucida. It matches the Rfam family "tRNA". Rfam says of the family: Transfer RNA (tRNA) molecules are approximately 80 nucleotides in length. Their secondary structure includes four short double-helical elements and three loops (D, anti-codon, and T loops). Lineage: Eukaryota; Metazoa; Chordata; Actinopteri; Cypriniformes; Danionidae. The record is from Rfam by way of RNAcentral. RNAcentral also lists the same sequence under 1 other name.
ACCAGGAUGGCCGAGAGGUUAAGGCGUUGGACUUAAGAUCCAAUGGACAAAUGUCCUCGUGGGUUCGAACCCCACUCCUUGUA